UGCUUAGUUUUCUAAAUAAAUAAAUAAAUAAAGUUUGCUAUGAACCAUCAUGAUAAGCUCUCACAUGGAAAUGAUGAAUAGUUGCUCUGCCAUGACUAGUUCUCAAAAUUGAAAUCUCUCUCAAGUUUAGGCAUGAUUGUUAUUAUUUAAGAUUUGCUCUAAACCUGAACUUGUGGGAAGAGUACUUGAUCUAAAGUCUAAGUCGUUAACGGAUACGAUAUGGGAAGGUUGAGCCGCUGUUUAUCUAUUCCUAAAGAUGCUAUAAUUCUGGAGAAUUUUAUCUUUGAAAAUCAUUAAAAUGUUGCAUGAUGAGUUGUUGUAUGAUGAGAGUUUAAAAUCCUACCACAGCCAUAUAUACAUGCUUAUUAGACUAUGAACCAUACAUAUACUUUUUACUGCUUAUGAGCAUUGAGUGUGGUCAAGUUGUGUAGACCCUUAGGAGCUUGUCAUGCGGUUAAAAUCAAGAUUCACUUGCACGUUCACUCAUACAUGCUGCUUCUUCUCCGGAAGUACGCAUCCACAUACAUCCAAUUAUUUCUAUAUCCAGAUUCACCUAAAAUUAUUCUACUCCUACCUAGGAGAGAAUAGCCAAAAACAUUAUCCUAUCUCAGUUAUUCCCCGUGAAAUAAAUGCUCGAGAUAUUUUGGUUACUACCACUUGCUACAUUAUUCCAGGAGGGCGAGUGCUCUAAAAAAAGUGAAUACGAGGAAAUAAAAAGGGGCAAGUGCCCGAAACCUUGGAAGAAAAAAAAGAGAAAAAAGAGAGAGAAAAAGUGCGACGAGAGGUAAAAAUGGACAAGUGUCCGAUAGUAGAAUUAGGGGUACAAGAUACCCACCUGAGAGAAAAGAAAAAUUAAAUAUCAAGCAUCUCAUUCCCCUCAAAAGCCUCAAGGGCAAGGAAGGUAUGUACCCCCUCAAAAGAGCAAAAGUACAAUUAGACUUUCACCAUUAUUUUUACCAUUAUUACCAUUCAUUCGCCACACAUGCACAUCUUCAUUUGACUUGUUGACUUGUUCUUCUAGAUCCAUGGUUUGACUAUGCAAUAAAUGUCAUGUAAGUAUGUAUUAGCUAUCUCCCACCUAUGAGCUCCAGAUAUCAAAACCUUAUUAGAGUAAGGUGAGAGAGAGAAGGCAAUGCCACUAUGCCUCAUACCAAAAAUACCACAUACUUUGAGAGAAGGCAUAUACCAUUACUGCCUUGGUAAGGAUACAUAAAUACCACAAAAGAGAGACUAGAGAGAGUCAUACAAGGAAUCUUUGAGUUUUAUUUGAAAAUCUGCAAAAACUCCAGAGCUAUAGUUAAUCGAAGAACAAGAGACAUGGCGCUUAACUAGACCGUUCUAUCUUUUAACUGCUCAAGACACAAGUGACGGUUGCAAGCCCC
RNAcentral lists this long non-coding RNA (1382 nucleotides) under Sorghum bicolor (sorghum). RNAcentral's name for it is "long non-coding RNA (SBIC_LNC008992)". The record is from RNAcentral. Lineage: Eukaryota; Viridiplantae; Streptophyta; Magnoliopsida; Poales; Poaceae.